AAGUCCCGUAACGAGCGCAACCCUUGUCCUUAGUUACCAGCACGUAAUGGUGGGCACUCUAAGGAGACUGCCGGUGACAAACCGGAGGAAGGUGGGGAUGACGUCAAGUCAUCAUGGCCCUUACGGCCUGGGCUACACACGUGCUACAAUGGUCGGUACAGAGGGUUGCCAAGCCGCGAGGUGGAGCUAAUCCCAGAAAACCGAUCGUAGUCCGGAUCGCAGUCUGCAACUCGACUGCGUGAAGUCGGAAUCGCUAGUAAUCGCGAAUCAGAAUGUCGCGGUGAAUACGUUCCCGGGCCUUGUACACACCGCCCGU
RNAcentral lists this ribosomal RNA (316 nucleotides) under uncultured soil bacterium. RNAcentral's name for it is "bacterial SSU rRNA". It matches the Rfam family "Bacterial small subunit ribosomal RNA", at positions 1082 to 1397 of the family's 1533-position model. The record is from RNAcentral.